UAGGGAAUCUUCCACAAUGGACGAAAGUCUGAUGGAGCAAGCCGCGUGAGUGAAGAAGGGUUUCGGCUCGUAAAACUCUGUUGUUAAAGAAGAACAUAUCUGAGAGUAACUGUUCAGGUAUUGACGGUAUUUAACCAGAAAGCCACGGCUAAAUACGUGCCAC
Molecule: ribosomal RNA, 163 nt
Filed under: uncultured bacterium
Lineage: Bacteria
Description: partial 16S rRNA
Rfam family: Bacterial small subunit ribosomal RNA
Source: RNAcentral